RNAcentral lists this ribosomal RNA (253 nucleotides) under uncultured bacterium. RNAcentral's name for it is "partial 16S ribosomal RNA". It matches the Rfam family "Bacterial small subunit ribosomal RNA", at positions 524 to 776 of the family's 1533-position model. The record is from RNAcentral.
UACGGAGGGGGCUAGCGUUGUUCGGAAUUACUGGGCGUAAAGCGCACGUAGGCGGCUUUGUAAGUUAGAGGUGAAAGCCCGGGGCUCAACUCCGGAAUUGCUUUUAAGACUGCAUCGCUAGAAUUGUGGAGAGGUAAGUGGAAUUCCGAGUGUAGAGGUGAAAUUCGUAGAUAUUCGGAAGAACACCAGUGGCGAAGGCGACUUACUGGACACAUAUUGACGCUGAGGUGCGAAAGCGUGGGGAGCAAACAGG